UACGGAGGGAGCUAGCGUUGUUCGGAAUUACUGGGCGUAAAGCGCACGUAGGCGGCUUUGUAAGUUAGAGGUGAAAGCCCGGGGCUCAACUCCGGAACUGCCUUUAAGACUGCAUCGCUUGAAUCCAGGAGUGGUGAGUGGAAUUCCGAGUGUAGAGGUGAAAUUCGUAGAUAUUCGGAAGAACACCAGUGGCGAAGGCGGCUCACUGGACUGGUAUUGACGCUGAGGUGCGAAAGCGUGGGGAGCAAACAGG
RNAcentral lists this ribosomal RNA (253 nucleotides) under uncultured bacterium. RNAcentral's name for it is "partial 16S ribosomal RNA". It matches the Rfam family "Bacterial small subunit ribosomal RNA", at positions 524 to 776 of the family's 1533-position model. The record is from RNAcentral.